AAUAAACUUUAUGUAAUGGUGGCACUUCACAUGGCUAUUGGUAUUUGCCAUUGGCUAUUUGUUGCAUUUGGCAAAAUUAUUGACGUAUACACAAACAAGCAAAUAAAGGCAAAUACGGCCUUCCACACAUGGACGUCAAAUACCAAACUUUUACUUGAUUUUGUUUACUUGCCUAUUUGACUCUUUUCAUAUGCGUCAAAAACCGACAAAGGUAAAGGAUACGUAUAUUUAUAUCUAA
Molecule: long non-coding RNA, 238 nt
Organism: Aricia agestis (brown argus)
Lineage: Eukaryota; Metazoa; Arthropoda; Insecta; Lepidoptera; Lycaenidae
Exons: 4
Source: RefSeq, a predicted model, not a curated record